Triticum dicoccoides is the source of this 2604-nucleotide RNA transcript. RefSeq lists it as uncharacterized. The transcript has 4 exons. Lineage: Eukaryota; Viridiplantae; Streptophyta; Magnoliopsida; Poales; Poaceae. The record is from RefSeq and is a predicted model, not a curated record.
GACGAGGCGCCAUGGCCCUGCCUCCCACCUUCGGCGACGCGCCACGGCCCUGCCUCCCAUCUCCGGUGACGCGCCGCCCCUAAACCCCGUCUCCUCUCUCGCGCCGCCCCCACUCGCCCCAGAACGCGGCCGUUCCUCCCACGGAGCCAAGCUCGCGCACCGUCGUCCCUCCCACCGCGCCGAGCUCGCACUCCAUCGCCGCUGGUGCCCCCAUCCUCGCGCCGUCCGUGACCCCUCCACUACACUCCUCUGCUGCAAGAACACGUCAGUUCGUGUGGAGAAUAAAAGUCCGUCAGUUCGAUAGUUCGUCAAUUCACCGAUGGGAUCCGCAGUUCAAGCAGCAGCAGCGCUCGCUCCCCAAUGGUUGCCCGCGCAAGGAGGAUACAGGGAGGCGACAGUGGUGGAGUCGGCAGCGUUCCAUGGCCUUUGUCCUCCUCGUCGCAUCUUUUCUUAUAAACAACAAGAAGAAAACGAGGCAUAGGCUUCAUGCUCUCCAUCUCCUGGUAAAGGGGAGUUAAGCUCUACGGCCACUUGGAUGUGUAUGCUCACGCUCCUCCACUGGGCGAGCUUCCAGGGCACCACGGGGAUUGAUAUUGUCAUCUCUACCCGUCGGCUAUGAGGGCCAAGAGGUUGCCUGCACCCUGCUGACUGAAAUGCCACUUCCGACCAGCACCUGGCCUGAUGUCAUACGUAGACCCCCGUGCUUUUUAAGAUUUCCUGUAUGCCUGUACAUGAAAAAUCUCAACAAUUCCGUUUCUUGUCUACAUGAUUUUGUGCUAGCUUAUCACAAGUUCAUGUUGCAUGCUCAAUGUAGUAGCUAGCUGAAGAAAAUUUAUUGUUCUGUAGCUUUGGUCUUACCAUUGUGGUGCUUGUGUUAUUGUGUGGGAAAAUGAAAGAAAGGAGUUUUUUUGCAAAUCAAUGAAUGAGAACAAAGUUUGUUGUUUCCCCAUCCAAUUUAGAGCUCCAAAAAAGUUCAGAGUUCAGAGUAGUUAUUUGGAGAUGAACAAUAAAUAAGUAUAAGAAAAAUUUGUAAAAAAGUUCGACAAAGUCCACUAUGUAUUUCACCAUCAGUACAUAAAGAAAUAUUAUAUAAAAUUCCCUGCUCACAGACUAUUUUUAUAGCCUACUGGUUAGUGUCAAAAUGUGUUGUUCUUGUUUCUUUACGGUUGCUUCUACAUUAUAUGAAUAUGAAUGUGCUAGCUAGCUAGCAAUACCAUUUGGAGUCAGUAGGUGUAGCUCAAACAAUUCUUGGGCCAUUUUGUCAUAACAAUAAGGCAGGACAUGCUUACAAGAUGACGAAACCAUGUAUAUAUAACUUGAUGACUGUCUAAAUUGAGAAAAUCCUGAAAUAUGAUAUGUGCUCUCUUUGUAUCAGUUCUUAUGCUUGUGACAAUUCUGCACUCAUACUGUGCUCGGUAACUAGAAAAAAAUACAUAAGUUCGAAAUAUACUUACCAUGUUUGUUCAGUGUUUUUUCAGUGGUUAUUGGUUUCCUCUUAAGCAGAUGAACUACAUUGUCACAUUAAACUGCAGGGACAAGUUCCCUCAGUCCUCUCUCGACAAAUCCAACAGUACAGGUUCUCCGGUGCGCCAAGUAUUGCCGGCGGCGAUGCCUGCAUCAUGGCCCAUUGAGGAGACCAUGCACGUACUUGGUGGUGCAGACUUGGUAGCGGUGAUAUCUUGGUUCGAUUAUAUAUCAACAACAGUGCAAUGACUGAAAGAUCAUCAGUUCAAAAUAUAUAUGCAGGAGGAGGUUCAAAGAUUGUCGUGGAGCAAGUUAAAGAGUUCAGUACACCUGCGUCAGUCAUCCAUCAUCUUCUGACAUCUAGUAUCGAAGUCUUUCCCCCCCUCUCGCCGCACACACAGGCCGGGCGGUUGAGCACCUCCUCAAGUGAGAUGCGCGGUGAGGCCCUACCAUCUCCCGCUGAUGGCUUGCCGGCACACCCUGCAGAUUCACCUCUCACCAUGGGCAGAGUCUUCAUGGAUGAACUAGAUCGUCGCCUACAAGCUCUGCUCCAGGUCAUCUCCCUCCUCUGUUGUUUUGCACUAAAAAUAUUGUAGAAUUUUUAAUUGGCUUCCGUGCGUAAAGAAGUAUCAAUAGCGAUGCAUCAUUGACAUUAAUCCUCUAACAAAAGAGUACAUAUGAGAACCUGCUCGGCUGCUCCUGGUUUAGAACAACCUGCAUUCAUACACUUCUUGGAAAAAAACUGAAUUUCAGUUCAGAGCACUGGCUCCGGCAGCCACAGCGCCCCAUCUCCCCUGGCUCCCACACCACCGCGCCAUCUCCUCCCGGCGGCAAUGCUGUAGCGAUCUUGUCCACGGCCACAUGUUGUUCUGUUUAAUGUUGUAUGAUGUUCGUAGAUACACGUAAAAGUUCGCCUUUAUAGCCUGAAAAAAAAUUCAGAGAAGGAAAGAAGUUCAAAAAAAGAAACCUGGGAUGUGUAGCUUUUUUUUGCUUAUUUUUAGCUUCAUGGCAAAGAGCUUUUGCUCAACAGUUGUAUGAACUUGUGCAUGACCAUGGAAGUAGAAGAAAACAAACAUCAGUCCAGCUGGUGGAUGUGGAGGUGAUUUCUGUAUCUAAAAUCAUAUGUGCUUUUCUCUCCAA